AAAAGAAAGGAAGUGUAAGGAAAAACCAAAAUUCUACUACGCUAAAAAGUAUAUACAUAUACUCUUCUAUCUUCAAGAAGGACGUGCGUGACCUUGAAAGAAUAUUUUUUUAAAUCUUGGCAUUUCAUGCCCACUUUAUUUAAAUUUAUGAAAUCCCUUUCCAACACAGCAGUUGUCAAAGGAGUGUUAAACAUAAAAGUUAUUAAAAAAAAAAAAAAGACAAAAUGGUAAAUUUCAAAUUCCAACGUUAAGGUACUGUUACAAAAUAUUUUUCCUCUGCAGAAUACUUACGGGUGGUUUAGGAAAACACCUAAGACAAAUUAGGAGAGACAAUAUAGUGAUUCAAGCAUGUGUGGUCCAAAUUUAAACUAUAAUUGAAUAUAAAAAUAUUCCUGUUAAGAUGAUUAAAAUUGGCCUUGAAAGACAGUAUCAAACCUCAGGACAAAAUUAUGCCAUAGUAUAGUUUGAGACAUUUAAUCAGGUAGAAAAGCAAGAAGAAUUUAAAACAAGGGAGAGUUGUUAACUUCAACAGAGUUUUAUCAAAUACUUACUAUGCACCUAAAUAAUUGAAGGUACCAAUAUAAAUAUUAUUGUCCCUGUCCUCAAAUGGAUUUAACAACUCUAUAUUUCUAAACACCAGCCAUUCACGUAUAAUCUUUAUGUUUUCUCUCAUAUCUGAGUACCAAUUUGUAAGAUUAGUUAUUAAAUAGUUUUCUUUAAAUCAACUUAACUUUUUUCUGAAAUACAUACUUUAUUAGAAAGCAAAAAUAUACAUGAAGGCUCAUGUCUAUUUUUCUUCUGUUAUCUUUGCAAAAAUGACACAUCCUAUAUCCUCUCACUCUGUUUCCAUUUUUCACGGCAUUUAAUCCUUGUGGCAGGCACAUGCAGCUCUCUUUUGCCACUGGGAUUAACUACCAAGAGUCACACUUUCUCACUCCACUGAAAGUAGGCAUGGCCACGUGAUUUGCAAAGGCCAAUAAAACAUGAAGCAGCAAGUGACACAUGUAAAAGCUUUUAGCUGCUGCUGUUUGAUUCUUCUCUCGUGGAAGCGCGUGCUGACAUGAAGGAGCCACAAGAAGGGAGCAUCUUGGAAAGCUGAGGGCGGCUAAUUUGGAUAGCUGCCCGGACUAGCCACUGUGGACUUCUCAUAAGCAAGAAAUAAACCUUUGUUACAGUGCACUAGUAAAAUCUGGUGAUUGUUCCCACAGAUUAUCCCAGGCUACCUGUUUAAUAUAGCAUUACUUACAGUUUGGUUAUGCAUUUUCUUACUUGGGUAUUCUUCCCAUUAAUAUCUAAGCUCCACAGGACAACAAAUUUAUGUAACACAUUAUAUUCUGACACACAGAACAGUCCUUGGGAUUUAAUACACACUUAGUAAAUAUGUCUUAAAUAAAUAAAUGGAGUAGUUACCCCUUAUUCACAGGGGAUAUGUUCCAAGACUCCUGAAAGCUUGGAUAGUACCGAAUCCUAAUAUAAUGUUUUUUCCUAUAUAUACAUAUGUAUGACAGAUUUAUUUAUAAACUAGGAACAAUAGGAGAAUAACAACAAUAAUCAUACAAAUGGCAAUUAUAACAAUAUACUGUAGUAAAAGUUAUAUGAUUGUGGUCUGUCUCUCAGUCUCUCAGAAUAUCAUACUGUACCACUGGUACCUGAAACCUGAAGCCAUGGAAACAAAGCUGUGAAGGAGAUGGGGGGGGCAGGAAACUACUGUAAAUGGUUUCUCUACAAUCAUCUCAUUUAUGUACCAGUGGUUAACGGACACUAUUUUGUCAAAAAAUAAAAGGGUAAAUGAGGCUUCUACAUGUUAAGUUUUCUGAGAGGAGAACUGUUAAAGCACUAGGUAUUCUGAAAAGGUAAAGGUUUUUGUACACUGACUGUUGGAAAUGGGUACUGGAGUUGAUGAGCCAAAAAAAAGGGGAAAAGAGUGUGAUGAACUGAAUGCUUGUAGCCUCCCCAAACUCCUGUGUUGGAAUUCUAACCCCCAGUGUGGUGGUAUUAGGAGGUGGGAGCCUGGGGAGAUAAUUCGGUCAGUAGAGCAGAGGCUUCAAUGGGAUUAGUGUCUUUAUAAGAGAAGACAUUGAAGAGACAAUCUUUCUUUCCCUUCUGUCAUGUGAGGAUACAAUGAGAAGACCUGCCAUCUGCAAACCCAGAAGCAAGCCCUCAUCAGAUACCAGGUCUGCUGCCACCAUGAUGUGGGACUGCUCAGCCUCUAGAACUGAGUCCUGAUGUUUCUCUUCUUCUGGUGUGGAUGCUGGAACUCCUUUCUGAAGUAAGAGGCAAAUAUCUCUCAGCAGAGAGUGCCAAGACCAAUCACUUAACCAUGGCAAUCUUCCUCAGUGUUUAAUACUCACCCUGAUGGUCCCAAGAUGGCUAUAGCAGUUUCAGCCACGGUAUCCUAACCCACCCACAUCUGGACGUAUCUACCUUUUCCAUCUCUAUCUAUUAAAAAUGUAGGAUACUUUUACCAGAAGGUUCUCCUCUAGGCUACUACUCAUGUUUCACUUGACAAAAUUGGUCACAUGGAAUUUCUUAAGUCAUAUACUGAUGAGGGAGAUGGAAUUAUCAUGAUUGGAUUAGACUACCCAUGAUUCACCACUCCUCAGCUUGGGAGAAAGAUCAUUUUCUCAGAGCAAAUGUCUGCAUAUGGCUGAAGAAUGGCAUGAACUAUAAAUUUAAAAAAUUGGAGUCCUCCAGGAAAGAAAGGGAGAAUUAAACAGAAAUGACUGGGUAGGUAAAACGCAAUAGUCUCCAAUGCCAAAUAAACUUUGUCUUGUUGCUCUC
Long non-coding RNA from Sapajus apella (tufted capuchin), 2781 nucleotides. RefSeq lists it as uncharacterized. The record is from RefSeq and is a predicted model, not a curated record. The transcript is spliced from 2 exons. Lineage: Eukaryota; Metazoa; Chordata; Mammalia; Primates; Cebidae.